AGUUCAGGCAGAGAGAGGGCAGUCUCAGGCUGCUCUGUGGAUGUAGGCAAGAAGGUUGAAUGUAAUACAUUGGCCCCACCUCCUGAGCCCCUCUCUGAAGCUGCUGCAUUGGACAGGAAAGAAAGGGUGAGAUAACAGAGACAUGGAGACAUCGUCUCUGCUCUCAGGAAUUUCUGGUUCCAGUAGCUGAGAGGUGAGACAAAAGCCUGGACAAGGUGCUCCACACGUCUGCGUUUUUUCAGGCGCUGUGAGCCAAGCGAAGGCUCUUUCUGGGAGGAGCAGGCAAUAGAAGAGGCACCAUGGCACAGGUGGACUCCCAGGAUAGGUGGACCAAGGUGCCCCUUGGCAGCACUCAGAUGCUGAGAAUGAGCUUGGAGAGUGAAGAAGAGGAUGGUAGGAAGGGUGGCUCCCCAGGAACUCAGAACAACACCGACUCGCAGUUUGACACUCAGUCCUGCAAAGAGGAAGAGAACUGGCCUGAGUGCUUCAGUGCUGGGUGUGUGGCGCAGAAACCUGGGGAGAUGCCUGGGAAGACCAGCAACGGGGGGAAAAAGGCAUCGAGGAUCACCCAGAUUCGAGACUCCCCCAAAUUACAGGAGGCUCUUGGUGCCCCUUCCAGAAGUUUAUUACACAAAGUUCAGAUACAGCCCCUUAGGGACUCCGUGGGCAGUGACGGAGGCAAGAAGGCAAAUAAGGACCCAGCCUCAGAAGUCCCGAACAGCUUCUUGGACAGUGGAGGGUAUUUUGAGGCACAGAACAGUGUUGAGGCAUCUUCCCUAGACAAGAACUCUCUGGAGCACUUUCCCAGGUCUGAGAGUACACUAGUUCAGACUCCAACCAUUCCUGCCAGCCUGUUAGUAAAAGUACGGAGCAGUAGAAAAGUCCAGGGCCAGGCGGGCCCAGAAGGCAGCGGGCAGGAAGAGGAGGGUCUCGAUAGGUGUGUGCGGGCCUUCCAGAAGUCCACCAAAGUUCAGGUCCCCGCGGAACAUCAUGGCUCCAAGCCCUACGUGUGCCAACUGUGUGGGAAGGCCUACUCCCAUCGCAGCACGCUGCAGCAGCACCGGCGCCUACACACAGGCGAGCGGCCAUACCGGUGUCCCUUCUGCGACAAGGCGUACACCUGGUCCUCCGAUCACCGCAAGCAUAUCCGCACUCACACGGGCGAGAAACCCUAUGGGUGCCCGGACUGCGGCAGGGCUUUUGUGCGCUCCUCCGAUCUGCGCAAACACCAGCGCAACAUGCACAGCAAUGACAAGCCCUUCCCGUGUGCCCAGUGCGGCUUGACCUUCAACAGGCCACUGUCACUGCUGCGCCACCAGCGCACACACCUGGGCGCCAAGCCCUUCCGCUGCUCCUCCUGCGGCCGCGAGUUCUCCGUGGCCAGCCGCAUGGUGGAGCAUCAGCGCGUGCACUCGGGCGAGCGGCCCUUCCCCUGCUCCACCUGCGGCAAGUGCUUCACCAAAUCCUCUAACCUGCAGGAGCACCAGACGCUGCACACCGGCCAGAGGCCCUUCAAAUGCACCGACUGCGGUGUAACCUUCGCGCAGCCCUCGCGUCUGCUGCGCCACCAGCGCAUCCACACUGGCGAGAGGCCAUUUCCUUGUGCUGAAUGCGGCCAGGCCUUCGCCCGUUCCUCCACCCUCAAGCGACACCAGCAGAUCCAUUCAGGGGACAAGGACUUCCUCUGUGCAGAGUGUGGCAGGGCUUUCCGCAUCGCGUCCGAGUUGGCGCAGCACAUCCGCAUGCACAAUGGGGAGAGACCUUACCAGUGUGAGGGCUGCGGCCAGACCUUCACCCGCUCCAGCCACCUCCAAAGGCAUCAAGCCAAGCAUGACACCUGCAAGAAGGAGCCUGUCCCUUCCUCUUCUGAUGAAUGAGAGUACAGUGGACUUUCAGCCAAGGGAAGGGAAGAAACCCUCGGCUUCACAUCCUCUUCUACUCUCAAAGUUAUAUUGGCAGCCAGGAUCACUGGUUACGCCCUCUACUCCCUGGAUUUUGGCUAUGGAUGGUCCCUGUACUUCAUGUAUUCUGUGUGUUGUGAGAAUAUGUAUUCUCCAGAAUAGUGUCCAAGUGUGCAGUUUCACACCAGUCUCCCGCUGUUUAGAGGCCAGGGUAAGAUAAAGAAUAGGGGCUGGCCAAUAGUCGGAUUCCUUAGGUAAGUAGAUUCCAGUCAAGGAGAAGGUAGAGAAUUCUGUGCUAGCACCGUGCAGGAUUCCAUGGGUACACAGACGAAAAUGGUCUAUUUUCUUCUUUCCUUAGUAAUAAUAGUCAGAUUUCUUAGGUAAGUAGAUUCUAGUCACGGAGAAGGUAGAGAAUUCUGUGUUAGCACUGUGCAGGAUUCCAUGGGUACAUAGACGAAAAAGGUCUAUUUUCUUCUUUCCUCAAAGCCGUAUUAAGUACUGAAAAAGCCAUCUUUAGAGAAAAAUUCGUUUUUGAUUUUUAUAUAAAGAAUCCUCAGAAUGGUCCCUGUGAUGGACUUUUCCACAGAACAAAGCCAACCUGGGGGUACCACAAACCAAGAGAGACAUUCUAACUUGUCACUUGACUGCUAAAACAACUUUAACCUUGAGGGAAUGUCUCUGUGGGUUGCCUUUGAAGUACAGACCUCAGAAAUGGGGGGGGGGGUUGUGCUGCAUCUGGGAAGCAGUGGUUUCAGAAGUUCAGAACAGCCUCGGCAUCCAGACAAGAGACUCCAUCCUCUUACCAGAGGAUGUGGUAACUGGACCUCACCUGGGUUUCACCCAUGAAGUUCACAGGUGUCUCCUCUCUGCCACUGCUUCUCCUGUUCACAGGAUUUGAAAUUAAGCCACGCGUGUUAUUUGUAGAAAAACAGUGAAUCGCUUCAGAUGAGCCGCAGCACGGUUCGUUUAAAUCUGCCUGGAUCACAGCCCGGAUUUGGAGGACAUAAACUAAGGCACCCUUUUGUCCAGGAGAGUUUUGCCUGCAUGGCGAAGGUGCUAAAAAUCUAUGAGCUCUUGAUGCUGAGAGAAGGGCUGUAUCAGUUAUACCACAGUCCUGUUGAAGAUGCCCAGCGUGGUCCAGUGAUGAGCCCAGCUUUCAGGCAGAGUCAAACACCACAAAGGAUACGAACAACUGUAUGCCAUCCGUCAUUGUGUAAACAUCCUUCAAAUAUGGCAGGGUCAUGAGCAUCUCAGAAAUAGAAAGAGCUUAGAGAGACAUGGCCAGGAAGUGCAAUGUGUGUCCUUGAUCAGAAAACAAAGAAACAUGGUAGAAAUGACUUAACUGGGAACAUGGGUGAAUUUUAAUGUUCCUGAAUUUUAUCAUGGUUACAUAAGAGACUUUUUUCCAUUCCUUAUUCCUGGGAGUUACAUUUGGGAACUUUUUAGGACUGAAAGGUAUUUGUAACUUACAAAUUAUUUGAGGAAAAAUUACAUAAGUAAAAGUUUGUAUAAGAGGAGAGGAGAGAAGAAGAUGCCCAAAAGGAGAGAAAGCCCGUGUUGCAAGGUGUUAAUAAAUUGUUGAAUGCAAGUGAGGAUCUGACAGGAGCAAUGUAAUUAUGCCAUUUUAACAAC
This is an RNA transcript of Mus musculus (house mouse), 3533 nucleotides long. It is a transcript of the gene named zinc finger protein 648, with no coding region annotated. The record is from RefSeq and is marked validated. Lineage: Eukaryota; Metazoa; Chordata; Mammalia; Rodentia; Muridae. The transcript is spliced from 3 exons.